UGAGCUGUGGUGUAGGUGGCAGAUGCAGCUCGGAUCUGACAUUGCUGUGGCUGUGGCAUAGCCCGGCAGCUGUAGCUCUGAUUCGACUCCUAGGUUGGGACUCUCCAUGUGCUGCAGGUGCGGCCCUAAAAAGGAAAAGGAAAAAAAAAACUGAAACGCUAUGGCAGGGGGGUUUCCUGGUGGCCUAGCGGUUAAGGAUCUGGUGUUGUCAAUGCUAUGGCCGGGGUUCGCUCCCUGGCCCAGGAACUUCUAUAAGCCUCAGUGUGGCCUGGAAAAACCAAACCAAAAAAAAAAAAAAAAAACCUAUGGCAGGAAUAGGGUCAGCUCUGUGUGGCUAUGAGAGCGACUCCAAAAUGGUUGAGUUAUAAUAUUGAAAGUGAAUGCUGAGUAGGGAGCUUUACAAGCUACUUCCCUCAGUUUCUCUUCAGCAACCUGUCUGAGAUCCACACUCAUGCAGCAUUCAGGGCAGAUGGUCCGGCUCAGACCCUAAAAUGUGGACAGUGAGUUUGAAAGCGUUAAGAAGGAUGAGUGAUCUUGAGGCAUCUCAGAAGAGGUGACGUCGAAGGCUCUGCGGUAGCCAUCGCAAGCACUGUCACAAUCUUGGGGGAAAUGUUUUGAAAGGUGAGCCCACUCCAGUGAUUUUACAACAGAAGAAACUGUGUAAGCCUCCAGAAAGUGACACUAUGUCAAGAAAGGUUCAGCUGCAGAAAACAUCAAGCCAUUCUGAACAGACCAAAAAAAAAGUCUGGGAGGAACUUUUUGUAUAAAUAAUCAGGGGGCUGGAGGAGCCUUCCAGGAAAGACUGAGAACAAAACAGCAGGGCCGGCCCUGGGGAGGUGGGGAGGGGCUGUCUGGGUCCCAAGCCAGAAAGCAGGGAAGCGGGCUGCCCGGGCUGGCCAAGGAGCAGAAAGACAGGCCCUGCCUCACUGCCUCCAUCCAGAGCGCACGCUAGUGCAUCGCACUGACAGCACCUGGCCCACCGUCCCCACCGUGGCACCGGGUCAAAGCGAGGUAGAGACGGACCAGGCAGAGCCGCCUUGGGGAAGCAGCUGGGAGAACUGGUGGAGGAAAAGUCGAGCACAGGGGAAAGUGGAAGCACGCCUCAGAGCACAGUCCCCAGCCGGGCUGCAGGCCUGGGCUCGCUCUUUUGGGUGUGAUGGGUGUUUAUCUUGCUGGCCUCUCCGGACAGACAGUGAAGCCAGCUCCCUUUGUUCCAUGUGAACAAUGGUUACUGGAAGGAGGCCAAGGGAUCAGAACAGUUGCUUUGAUGGCUUCCAUUUGCAGGGGAAUGAAAUAUGAUCUGGAAGGCCCCUGACUGCCUGCGACAGCUUAGAGCAAGCCUGGGGCCUUCUCUGUAAACCUGUACAUCCUGUGAUUCAUGGGGGUCUCUCCUGCUCACGCCUCUCCUCCCCCAGCAUCUUAUGGCCUUGACAUGAUUGAGACCAAAACAAAGCCCAGGGGUGCCCCAGCCGUGCAUGAGGUGCCCAGUUAAGGGUGCAAUCCACUUUUGGUUUCACUGGGAGGCACAUGGUCUGAUUUGGGGAGUUUGUCCUUCCCCUCAGAAGCAACCUGCUGUGCCCUCUGAACCAGCUGCAGAGUAUUGGCCCUGCUCCCACCUCCAUGCUCUCCCCAUCCCACCUAGACCUGCCUUCCUUAUGUCUCAGCCAUUCCUUUCUUUAUCCUGCCUCUGCCAGCUAGUUUAAGCUGUUAACAACCCUGGCUUGCUGUGUUAUCCCAAGUUAAUUUAUAGGACAUUGUGUUUUAACAGGGACUUUUAAUCCGAGGGGAGUAUCUGGUAGUAGGAAAUGAGACUCUCUGGUUGAGACUGGAGGCAGAGGUGGAGGUGUUGGGUGGCAAAAGGAGCCUUUUGGGGGGCGUCCAGACCUCACCGGCCCACAGAGAUACCUGUUAACCCCACAAAGAUGGAGACCUCUUGGCAAGUGGGGAGCAGAGGUGGAUGCUUGCUGGCAGGUUUGGGGGCAGCAGACCAGGUUGUAGGACUAGUGACCCCAUUUGGAGCCAGGCAGUUUCCCACUGGGCAGAAGACAGUUAACCUCCCUUCCCUUAGUGAGCCCUCGAGGGCCAUCUGCCUGCCCAUGCCCUCGGGUUCCCUGGGCUCUGGACGCUGCCUGCUCUUGCUCUCGGCACCCACCUUCCCGUCCUGCCUCGCCUGGACUCGGAGGCCUCCUCGCCUCUGACCCAGGCAGCCACUUAUUUCAGGCCAGGGUCCCCAGCCUGCUCCCGGUGUGGACACCUGUCAGGAGAGGAAAGGAAGCAGCCCUGGACAGAGGUAAAGGCUGGGCUGUGGUGCAGGAACUACAAGGCCUCAGCUGACCCCACAGGGAGCUCUGUAGCUUCUAUGGCCCUGAAGAGUUGCCCCGAGUUUUCAAGAAGCAUCUGGGCUCUUGCCCUCUAGGACUGACCCGUCCCUGAGUGCCCUUGGGUGAGGCAUCUCUCUUUGGCCAAGGAUAAUUCCCAGCGAGAGAGUUGGCACUGCCAGGUCCCACGAAUGCUCAGGGAGAGUGAGGGCGAGUCCCUGAGUCCUGGUUGUCAGCUGAGGGCUGGCAGCACGCCCAGCAGCUCGGGAAGAAGUGCUGUGGUCCUGAGCAGCACAGCACCGUUCGCCUCGCACCAGUUUGUCCCAACGCUGCUGGCUCCUUGGCCCAUGUGUGGCCCCUUAAUCACUUCAGGAGCAGAGGCCAGGAGGCAAAGGAGAGCUCCCCUGGGCAGUUGCUAGCUCUGUUUUCCUCUGGAAAACGUCUCUCAGGUGCAGUGGAACCACUGAAUCAUAUGUGCAUUUAACAUGCAAAUUCAACAAUAUAGACCCUGAAAGAC
Molecule: long non-coding RNA, 2835 nt
Filed under: Sus scrofa (pig)
Lineage: Eukaryota; Metazoa; Chordata; Mammalia; Artiodactyla; Suidae
Description: lncRNA (ENSSSCG00015019932.1)
Source: RNAcentral